AGUCUAAGGGUAUCACUMAACCCCGUGGCGAAGUGAAAGCGAAAUAAUUGUUGUGGGAAGAUGGCACCCGCUCUCGGAAUUUUAUUUCGAAGAGCAUCGGCGGUGUCCCGCAUUCCCAGGGCGCUUGCCGGGAGCUCGUUCUCUCGAUCCGUCUUUCCUUCGGGAGGGGCACGAUCGUUUGAAAUGGCACCCUAGGCGCACCUCGAGCGCACACGUUGGGACCCGAAAGAUGGUGAACUAUGCCCGGCCAGGAUGAAGUCAGGGGAAACUCUGAUGGAGGUCCGAAGCGAUUCUGACGUGCAAAUCGAUCGUCUGAGUUGGGUAUAGGGGCGAAAGACUAAUCGAACCAUCUAGUAGCUGGUUCCCUCCGAAGUUUCUCUCAGGAUAGCUGACGUCCGUUUACUAAACGAGUCUCAUCCGGUAAAGCGAAUGAUUAGAGGCCUUGGGGCCGAAACGACCUCAACCUAUUCUCAAACUUUAAAUGGGUGAGACGCACGGCUUGCUCGAAUUAUGAAGCCGCGUCUCGGAUCAKGAUGUCUAGUGGGCCAUUUUUGGUAAGCAGAACUGGCGCUGUGGGAUGAA
Molecule: ribosomal RNA, 582 nt
Filed under: Anaplectoidea spinea
Lineage: Eukaryota; Metazoa; Arthropoda; Insecta; Blattodea; Blattellidae
Description: eukaryotic LSU rRNA
Rfam family: Eukaryotic large subunit ribosomal RNA
Source: RNAcentral